The submitters of this non-coding RNA (201 nucleotides) gave its source as unclassified sequences. The record is from Rfam.
UCUGGAUAAACUUGUAUUCACCCAAGAGAGUGGAGCAAGUCACUUUACGGAAUUAUAAUUAAGUAACACAUUUUGGAAUUGAUAAAGACUUACAUAUAAGUGAAAUUCCGAAAUGUUAGGAUAACUGUACAUCCUUUAAUAUAUUUUAUAUUAUAAAAGCAAUCUUGAAUAUCUUUGAUUAAGUUUUCAAGUUACGCUUGU